AUGCUCACUUUGGCAGCACAUAGACUACACUUGGAAUGAUACAGAGAAGGUUAAGAUGAUCCCUGCACAAGGAUGACACACACAUUCAUGAAGUGUUCUAUGUUUUU
This is a small nuclear RNA of Gorilla gorilla gorilla (western lowland gorilla), 107 nucleotides long. The record is from Ensembl. Lineage: Eukaryota; Metazoa; Chordata; Mammalia; Primates; Hominidae.